UGUUACGUUUUUCAAUAACUUUAAAACCUUUCAUAAAAAUAAACUGUAAUAAAAGGUCCCAUAACUGUAAAUCACGUAGGCAGCGACCAAUCAGAGCAGAGCGUCUUGUCUCGAGCGUGGUCGAGGCGCCAUCUUCACUUUGGAGAAAGCUUGUAUUGUGGUGUGACGCAUUUUGUAUUUUGUGAGCAUAAAAACGUAUCGAGUUGGAUCGUUGGAUAAUUUGGAUAUAGUUAAAGUGAGAUUGGUGCACCGAACUCGCUGCUCGGUCUAAACUGUUGUAUUCCUACAAUAUUACCGUGGAAUAACAAAUUAUUGUAUAAACUGAAUUAAACUACUGAUAAAACGGCAUCCAUUGUGUUUUGUGCUCGCACUUUAACCCCAUGACGCCCACUAAGCCCCCACUAAUGGCGAUAUCGACGAGGAGAGCCUUUCCCCGACAUCAGAAGUGGGAUCGGUGCAAGCACAAAACGUGAACGGACAGAUAACAGCAAAUGAUGGAUGGCGUGCGUUAUUUGAAGCACAACAAACCAGCAUGAAGCUACUCGUGGAGGCUUUGACUAAACCACCGAAUCUUGAGGAUAAAAACAUCACGCUGCCUAAGUUUCAACCGGAUGAUGCAAACACUGACGCCCGGGCCUGGCUGGCCACGGCGGACAUUUGCUUAUCGGAUCGUGAGAUACAGGGAAGUAAAUUAAUUCUCAUUCUUAGUAAGGCUAUGAAAGGGUCGGCUGCAACAUGGUUUUCUCAAAUAGUUUUUCCUAAUAUAAAAUGGGUAGAAUUUAAGGAAAUUUUUAUUUCUCGAUUUGUUACGUUAGAAACAUGUGCAGCGACGUUAUUGAAGAUGCUUACUGGUAAACCACAAGAAGGUGAAUGUCUUGCUGCAUAUGCAAGCCGUUUAUUUACCUUACUCAUGUCACGAUGGAGUAAUUUAGAAAAGGAAGAAAUGGUGGUGUCUUUAAUACUUGCACACAUGGGACAAAUUGAGCCACGGUUACAACGCAAUAUUUUUGCGGAAGAAAUAACAACCCGCUGUAAAAUGCAACGCGAACUAAUGGCUUUUUCUUAUCGCAAACGGAGCUACCAAGAGAUGACAAAGGCCGUUGCAAGCAAUACGCACGAUAACAAACUUCCUAAAUUAAGUUCUGGUUCCACAAAAUGUUACGCUUGUGGAAAGCUUGGCCAUAAAUCUAAUGAAUGUUUCAGUCGAUCGCAUGAAAAACAGCAAACAACUCCGAUCUUCGAACACCCUGACACAGCUGAGGGUAAGCGUGCCCCUGUGACUUGCUACAAGUGUGGUGUUGAAGGUCAUGUGGCAUCGCGGUGCUCAAAAACAUGGUCAGUUGCAAGUAAUAGUGCACAACCCACCGUCGCACCCAGCAUUGUGAAGCGAGUGAACGUGUGUGGUAUGAAGCCUGUCACCGGGAUAAUUACACAAUUUGGUGAGCAGUUCUCAUUUUGUUUUGAUUCUGGUGAUGACUGUUCCUUAAUUCAAGAGAGCGUCUCUCGUAAGCUUGUCGGUACAUUAUAGCACGCCAUUGCUACAUUGUGUAACAUGUAACUCACAAAUUUGGAUAGGAUGGCGAGGUGGCCAUAGGAUGGCGAGGUGGCCAUAGGAUGGCGAGGUGGCCAUAGGAUGGCGAGGUGGCCAUAGGAUGGCGAGGUGGCCAUAGGAUGGCGAGGUGGCCAUAGGAUGGCGAGGUGGCCAUAGGAUGGCGAGGUGGCCAUAGGAUGGCGAGGUGGCCAUAGGGUGGCGAGGUGGCCAUAGGAUGGCGAGGUGGCCAUAGGAUGGCGAGGUGGCCAUAGGAUGGCGAGGUGGCCAUAGGAUGGCGAGGUGGCCAUAGGAUGGCGAGGUGGCCAUAGGAUGGCGAGGUGGCCAUAGGAUGGCGAGGUGGCCAUAGGAUGGCGAGGUGGCCAUAGGAUGGCGAGGUGGCCAUAGGAUGGCGAGGUGGCCAUAGGAUGGCGAGGUGGCCAUUUUAUUGCUAUUAGUCUGUUAACGGCGAAGUGGCUGCUUAGAUACUAUGGAAUUAAUUUAGAAUGUAGCGUGGAAUCUAUUAGGAUUCAGAUCGGAAUACGAAACAGAAAUGGAGUUAUUGCAUAAAGGAUCAAAUGUAAGGAUCCUAUAAUGUCCCGGGUCAGGAGUGGCCGAGACGUACAAAAAUAGUUUCUUUUUUUGCAGAUAGCGAUGAUGCACGGCCUUCAACAUCACACGAGGACGUGUGAUAUGUCAGGACGGCCGUGUCAGAGGAAGCAAUGAGUCGAGUUGAUUCUUGUUUACAUGCUUAAUGUUUAUUAUUAUUAGUUUUACGUUGUAAUUACUUUUAUAAUUCCUAAUUCUAUUUUAUCUUGUUUGUUACGUUUUUCAAUAACUUUAAAACCUUUCAUAAAAAUAAACUGUAAUAAAAGGUCCCAUAACUGUAAAUCACGUAGGCAGCGACCAAUCAGAGCAGAGCGUCUUGUCUCGAGCGUGGUCGAGGCGCCAUCUUCACUUUGGAGAAAGCUUGUAUUGUGGUGUGACGCAUUUUGUAUUUUGUGAGCAUAAAAACGUAUCGAGUUGGAUCGUUGGAUAAUUUGGAUAUAGUUAAAGUGAGAUUGGUGCACCGAACUCGCUGCUCGGUCUAAACUGUUGUAUUCCUACAAUAUUACCGUGGAAUAACAAAUUAUUGUAUAAACUGAAUUAAACUACUGAUAAAACGGCA
This is an RNA transcript of Bombyx mori (domestic silkworm), 2696 nucleotides long. RefSeq lists it as uncharacterized. The record is from RefSeq and is a predicted model, not a curated record. The transcript has 2 exons. NCBI's taxonomy places the organism in Eukaryota, Metazoa, Arthropoda, Insecta, Lepidoptera, Bombycidae.